UACGAAGGGGGCUAGCGUUGCUCGGAAUCACUGGGCGUAAAGGGCGCGUAGGCGGCCAUUCAAGUCAGAGGUGAAAGCCCAAGGCUCAACCUUGGAACUGCCUUUGAUACUGUUUGGCUUGAGACCGGUAGAGGUAAGUGGAACUGCGAGUGUAGAGGUGAAAUUCGUAGAUAUUCGCAAGAACACCAGUGGCGAAGGCGGCUUACUGGACCGGUUCUGACGCUGAGGCGCGAAAGCGUGGGGAGCAAACGGG
RNAcentral lists this ribosomal RNA (253 nucleotides) under uncultured bacterium. RNAcentral describes it as "partial 16S ribosomal RNA". It matches the Rfam family "Bacterial small subunit ribosomal RNA", at positions 524 to 776 of the family's 1533-position model. The record is from RNAcentral.